AUGCCAUCAAGAACCCUGAUGUGUCCGUGGAUGAGGCUGAAUCUGCUCCAGCGCGUGCAACAGAUUGCAUUACCUUUCAAGCUCAAAUAAACCGGGUGGGUUUGGGAACCUUCCAUGUCCCCAAAGUGAACUGGAGGAAGAGGCAGAGGCCGAAAGGACCAAACGGACUCUCAAUUCUCAAAAAGGAUUUCACUUGCUACCAUUGCUUGAGGAGAGAUGAUCACUUGUUUAAGUGAAGAGGACAUGGAAGAUGAAGAUGUCAGAAGCGAUAGGGGAUGCAGCUGUUGCGCCUUUCUAUAUAUCAAUAGAAAUUCAAAUUUUCUGUAAAUAAUCUGGGGUGCUCGACUUCUACCCUUGAAUCUGAGGGUGAAAAUUGUGAAGCCCUCCACGGACUGGAUAGACACCAAACCUAAUCAAGCAGCAGCGGGCCUCCACUGAGACACUGGGCACCGAGGGCGGCUGAGAGAAGGC
Esox lucius (northern pike) is the source of this 471-nucleotide long non-coding RNA. The record is from Ensembl. NCBI's taxonomy places the organism in Eukaryota, Metazoa, Chordata, Actinopteri, Esociformes, Esocidae.